Molecule: long non-coding RNA, 2570 nt
Organism: Mirounga angustirostris (Northern elephant seal)
Lineage: Eukaryota; Metazoa; Chordata; Mammalia; Carnivora; Phocidae
Exons: 4
Source: RefSeq, a predicted model, not a curated record
GGCCCCUCCCCUUGCUGAGUCCUUGAGGUCUGGAAGGAGCUGAUCCCUGUGAGGGGGUAGGGCGGUGCGGGCCCCAGGCCUGGCCAUCCGCAUACCGCAUUGCCUUGGUUACCAGAGUAGUUGAGAGAUAAACUGGAAGACCAAAGUCUAUCAAGGCCAAUCCUGGGACUGUGGGGAGGGGUCCUCUUUCGGUUGGGCCAGCGGAGCGGAGGUAAACCUGCUGCUGCCCAGGACUUGACAGGGAAGUCAGUGACUGAGGAAAGUGUCCAGAGAUGGGGACUUACAACUUCCUGAGCACUUGUUGAGCGCCUGGAUCCAGGGGUGCCUGAAAUGGCCCUCUGGCUGCUGGCUCUUCCCGAGGCACAUCCUGUCUUGCUGGUGCUGCUUCAUCCCUGGAAUGCCCCCAUGGGCCUAAUAGCUACCAUUUAUUGUGCUCCCAACACAUGCCAACCCUGCGCUCCUCAUUCAGCCUCUGAGCUGUACACAUCACCGCCCCUUCUAGGGACAGGCAAACAAGCUCUCAGAGAAGUCAGUUCUGGGGGUCAGAAGUCCAAAAUGAGUCUCACGUGUCAGGGCUGCAUUCCUUCCAGGAGGUUCUGGGCGAGAAUCUGUUUCCUUGCCUUUACCAGCUUCUAGAGUCUGCCUGCAUUCCUUGGCUCAUGGUCUCUUCCUCCAUCUCCAAAGCCAGCGUUGGUGCCAGCCUCACGUUACCAUCUCUCUGGUUCUCAUCCUCUGCCCUCCUCUCUCUCCCAUUUAAGGCCCCUGUGAUUACUUUGGGCCCAUCCAAAGAAUUCAGGAUAAUCUUAUUUUAAGAUCAGUUGAUUAUCAGCCUUAAUUUCAUCUAUAACCUUAAUUCUCUCUGCUGAGUAAUCUAAGAUAUUCCUGAGUUCUGGGGGUUAGACUGUGGACAUCACUGGGGGGCCAUUAUGCUGCCUACCGUAGGUGCCAAACAGAAAACAGUUGGCCCACCUGCCUUAUAUGCCGGUUACCCUGGGGACUUGGUUUAUUUCCUCUACUAGUGGAGACAUCUAGAGGACAGGACAGUUUGGAUUACCAAUUGCAUGUAACAAUCGCUCCAAGACUCAGUGGCUGAAAGCAACACUUCUUUAUCGUCACUCAUGCAUCUGGGGAUCAGCUUGGGUUCAGCUGAGCAGUUGGCUGCUGGGUCACCUCUGUGUCUCGCUGGGCAUCCGUGUUGGCUGGGGUGGCUCUGCUUAUGUGUCUCUCAUCCCCUUGGACCAGCAAGCCAGCCGACUGGGCUUUUCCCAGGCAGGGACAGAGAUGUACAGCAAAACAAGGAGGAAACACACGGCGCCUUCUGAGCUGUCACUUCCACCCAUCUGCCAUUGGGCACGGCAAGUCCCAUUGGCCAAGCCCCAAGCUGAGGGGUCAGGAGAUGCACUCAGCUCUCGGGGAGCUUGUUGGUGGAGACAGGGCGGAGGGAGAAAUGGGAGUACAAUCUAGUCCAUUCCGGGGCCACUUCUUAAUCAUAUUUGCUUUCCUACUAUUCCAGAACAUUGUUUUUUACCGGCUUGGGUCUGCAUGAAAAGGUAUCAAGUAAAUGAAUGAAUGAACGAACAAACGAACUAACAAAUGAGCACCCGUAGGGAGGACACGCUCAUCCAGGCUUAGUGUCUCUCACUAUGGUGGAGGUGCGCUGGGGGUUACAGCUGGCAGAGCACAAACUCCUUUGUCUGGCUGGGGCUGAGCCCACAGUACUCAAGGCUGCCACCGGGGCAGGCCCGGCCCCCCAAGAUGCCUGUGGUCUCCUGAGGACGCAGAGCGCAGCAAGUGAGAACAAGAGGGUUGCAGAGUCUGUGUGACGGAGCAUGGAAAGAGUGCCUCCAGGCAGCCUCGGAGCUGAGCCUGGAAGACCAGCCCCUGCUCUGAGGCAGAUAAGGGGAGAGCGGCCGUCAGGGAUGGACGCAGACGGCGUGGACAAGCGCACUGCCCCUGUGGGGACCCAUCUGGCAACUAAAGAAGUUCGGUGCUCCUGGACAGUGUGUAUGAACCGUGGGGAGGCAGGCUGCGUGAGUGACCGACAAGGAAGGGCAUGGUUUUACACCAACCGGUUUGGAUUUAUCCUCUAAGCCAGGGGUUGACAGACUUCUUGUGUAAAGGACCAGAGAGCAAGUAUUUCAGGCUUUGUGGACCAUACAGUCUCUCUCGCACCUUCUUAACUCUGCCGUUACAGCGUGAAAGCGGCCCGGCCGCAGUCAGUAUGUAAAUGAACGGGCAUGUUUGUGUUCCAGUAAACUUUAUUUAUAAAAACAACCAUAGCCCAGAUCUGGGCAGUGGCUCCAGUUUGUCAAUCUCCGCUCCCCACCCAGAGUCACACCCUGGCAGCCUGCAGGCCAAUUCUGUCCCACAGAUUUUUGUUUUGUAUCAUUUAGCCAACAUUAAAAGAUGAACUGAUUUCACAUAAAAAUCUAAAUCUAGAUUCCCGGGUUCCUUAAAAAGUCUGAAGCUCCAAUUACACCAGGCUUUCAGUCCUAUGUGGCAGUAAGCAACUGGAGGCCCCUUUCACCAGCUCAUGGUCUCUCCAGUUUGCCAGAGUCUCUGCCACUCCC